AUGGCCGGCCUGAGCUCCCCGCGCCUAGUCUCCUGCAUCGGCGGGCGCGACGCCCGCGACGGCUCCUACCAGCUCUUCCUCGAGUUCGCCCCUGGCGGCUCGCUGGCGGACCGGGUGGCGAUCGACGGGGGCCUCGACGAGCGUGCCGUCCGCGGAUACGCGGCCGACGUGGCGGCCGGGCUCGCGUACCUUCAGGGCGUCGGUAUGGUGCACGGGGACGUCAAGGCGCGCAACGUCGUGAUCGACGUCGACGGCCGAGCCCAGCUCGCAGAUUUUGGGUGCGCGAGAAAGGCGGGAGCCGGCGGCGGGUCGAUCAUCGGUGGCACGCCCGCGUUCAUGGCGCCGGAGGUGGCGCGCGGCGAGGAGCAAGGCACCGCGGCCGACGUCUGGGCGCUAGGCUGCAUGGUUGUCGAGAUGGCCACUGGACGCGCGCCCUGGAGCGGCAUGGACGGUGACGCGCUCGCGGCGCUGCACCGGAUCGGCUACACGGAGGCCGUGCCCGAGGUUCCCGAAUGGCUGUCCGCCGACGCGAAGGACUUCUUGGCCAGAUGCCUUGUCAGGCAGGCCAGCGGCCGGUGCACGGCGGCGCAGCUGCUGGAGCACCCGUUCUUGGCCUCCGCCGUGGUCGGCGCGAAGCCGCAAGCCGUGGAGAGCAAAUGGGUGUCGCCGAAGAGCGCGCUGGACGCCGCAUUAUGGGAAUCGGAGUCUGACACCGACGAGGCCGAGGAUGAGAUGUCGCACGGCACGGCCGAGAGGAGGAUCAGAGCACUGGCGUGCCCUGCGUCGGCGCUCCCGGACUGGGACUCCGAUGAGGGCUGGAUAGACGUGCUCUACGCGCCAACCGAAGCACCAGACGCAGCGACGGAGGAGACGAUCGACCUGGACGACGACGUGAUCAGAAACGAAGAACCAAGCGGCGCAGAGUCGGGCGUUCUCGCCAUUACCUUGGACGUGGAGUACAACGGCGACAACAGCGUCCUUAAUGGAGUAGAAGCCUACAACGAUUCAGUUAGGCAUCAACAGUCGUUGGUGUGUUUAGCUUCUCACGAACUAUCAUGUAAAUUGUUGCUUUGCAACAGGAAGACUAAUGCAAUUGAUUUCGUUCUUGCACAAGAAAUCAUAACCAUCUAUUGA
This 1134-nucleotide ribosomal RNA is filed under the name Triticum aestivum (bread wheat). Its description in RNAcentral is "partial small subunit ribosomal RNA". Lineage: Eukaryota; Viridiplantae; Streptophyta; Magnoliopsida; Poales; Poaceae. The record is from RNAcentral.